CAAAAAUCUUCUGCAACAAUGAAGGCUUGGGCUGAUGAUUAGUGGCUGCAGAACGUUUGGAUGGUCCACAUUUCUGCAUCUUUGUGCAAAACUCACCAAAAUAAAAGCUGCACUGACAGUGGAGAAGAAAAAAUAAUUGUACUAUGGGGAUCUGCAACACCAGAUUAUUAUUGGUCAAUCACUGUUCUCUCUCCUAAACUAAGAUGGAAUGGAUUUCUUUAAUAUUCAAGACUGUGAGCUAAGAUCAUCAGUGAAGACUCAGGAGUUCAAGCUUCCUGGAGUGGGUGAGUUUCCUCAUUUUCUCUCUCUGUUUCCUUUUCUAACUCAGAUUCUUCAGAUUUCCAG
Long non-coding RNA from Gopherus evgoodei (Goodes thornscrub tortoise), 345 nucleotides. RefSeq lists it as uncharacterized. The record is from RefSeq and is a predicted model, not a curated record. The transcript is spliced from 3 exons. NCBI's taxonomy places the organism in Eukaryota, Metazoa, Chordata, Testudines, Testudinidae.